CUAGGCUAACCCGUUCCUAUCCACGCUGUCAGGUUCUAGGCUAGCCUGUUACUAUCCAUGCUGUCAGGUUCUAGGCUAACCCGUUCCUAUCCAUGCUGUCAGGUUCUAGGCUAACCCGUUCCUAUCCAUGCUGUCAGGUUCUAGGCUAACCCGUUACUAUCCAUGCUGUCAGGUUCUAGGCUAGUCCGUUACUAUCCAUGCUGUCAGGUUCUAGGCUAGCCCGUUACUAUCCAUGCUGUCAGGUUCUAGGUUAGGAAGGAUGUCUGUAUCAAUACACCCAGUCACUACAAAGAUACAGGCAUCCUUCCUAACUCAGUGUAUCAAUACACCCAGUCACUACUAAGAUACAUACGUCCUUCCUAACUCAGUGUAUCAAUACACCCAGUCACUACACAGAUACAGGCAUCCUUCCUAACUCAGUGUAUCAAUACACCCAGUCACUACAAAGAUACAGGCAUCCUUCCUAACUCAGUGUAUCAAUACACCCAGUCACUACAAAGGUACAGGCAUCCUUCCUAACUCAGUGUAUCAAUACACCCAGUCACUACACAGAUACAGGCAUCCUUCCUAACUCAGUGUAUCAAUACACCCAGUCACUACAAAGGUACAGGCAUCCUUCCUAACUCAGUGUAUCUAUACACCCAGUCACUACAAAGAUACAGGCAUCCUUCCUAACUCAGUGUAUCAAUACACCCAGUCACUACAAAGAUACAGGCAUCCUUCCUAACUCAGUGUAUCAAUACACCCAGUCACUACACAGAUACAGACAUCCUUCCC
Molecule: long non-coding RNA, 777 nt
Organism: Oncorhynchus keta (chum salmon)
Lineage: Eukaryota; Metazoa; Chordata; Actinopteri; Salmoniformes; Salmonidae
Exons: 3
Source: RefSeq, a predicted model, not a curated record